AUUAAUGUAUAAUCCCCUGAAAACAAGAAGCAUUGUGAUUUUGCAAACUUAGAAUGAGCUGUUUAUAUCUACAGAGGGAGCGGUCAUGUUUCUACAGUAGCCCAGAAGGGACAAACCAAGCAUUGGAGAGGUGGCUUUUUCACUUCCUUGUACGUGGUUGAUCCGUUUCUCGUUAUAUUGUACAUACUUUCCACUAUAUUCUUUUCAGAGUAUCACGUUCUUAUUCUAUCUCAUCAGGUGAAGCCGGAGGAGAGACUGAGCUUUCUUCACGGAUGUGUUCUGCUCUUGUGCUGCAAGUGAGAUGUCGAACACACAGAAAUGUGAAUGAAAUGAGUGAGCGUUCUGGUUGGCAUUAUUUCUGCAGCACAACAAGGCAGCGCAUUGUCCAUCUGAGACCUCACGAUAAUGGAGGCUUCACCGCCUUUCACAUGAGACCAAUGAAUCCAACGAUGUCACACAACAACAAACCUGUUUCAGUCACAAACAACCGUCACCUGGAGCCCAAACACCUGCUGGAGGGCAACUUCCAGUUCACCGGGAAGAAUGGAACUCACGUAAUCUUUGACAGAAUUUACUUGACUGUAUGUUAGAGUGAAAGAUCUUUCGACGUUAAAAAACGUAAUUUUUUAUUUUGAGAAUACAUGCACAUUAUAAAAAACUCAAGGUCUCACACAUUAGUUUAUACCGGAGCUCUCAACCGUAUCCAACAGCCACAGAGCAAACUCCACAAGAUACGGUCAAAGGUUUUGCAUAUUUGACCACAGAUAUGUUUAUGAGUGAGGUUGUUAAUAGUGGUGGUGAUUCUGAAGUGAAUGAUGUAGUGUUUAUAAUGACUACGUGUCGAGUGUAUAAUCAGCUGGUAAACAUGUGAUGUUAAAGAUUAGCUGCACUUACAACCAGCUAAAACAAUAAAAUGCUGCUUACAGUGUUGCCUUUCUAAACUAAACUACCUUUUACAGCGAACAUCUUUGUAUUUGGUUUAAAUGUUGAAUGCAGGAUGCUAGUAAUGGAGUUUUUGUAAUGCAACUUUAUACUACUUCCACUGCUGCCAGUAAUUCAAAUUCAGCAAAUGUGUUAUUUGUUGAAUCCAAAUAUAUUCAAUUUCAAGCAAACAGUCACAUAUUUGUCUCUUUUGCUUAAUUCACCAGUUAACUCAAAGGUCUACCGACAUGUCUCUGGGGAUUAAAGCAAACAACACAGUGAAUGCACUCCGGUGUUGACUCAGGGAGCAGCGCUUUUAUUGCAGGUUGUCUGAAGCGGUAUCUCUGUUUGGGAGGCGCUUCACAGCUGUUGGGCCACAGACAGGGCUGCGGAGAUGAAGACCGGAGUCUGCCAAGUCUGUGGUCACACGGCCUGGUGCUGCCAGGCAGGUGGGCCAACCACUCGGAGCCCCCUUUCAACACCAAAUGUGUCCCAGGUCCCCAAGAUGUGUCGGUGCCCUUGAACUGAACCUAUAACUGCCAAAAAUAUCACACAUCAAAACUUUAUGUUGAGGUUGUAAUUCAUUCAAUAUAACGUCUCAAUUUAGAAUGAAUGGCCUUUGAAACCGUUUUAUUAAUAGCGGCUGUGCACGCUGAUGAAACAGCACAAUGUACCCUCAACUCUGAGGCCACUUCCAAUCUGCAAUGUCCUGAUCGGUUGCAGCGAUUUGCUCUCAGGUUUCUCAAGAUAUUAGCGUGUCUCGGGAGACGUGUGCAUGCAGAAUAUCAAUGUCAUGGUUCAAGCUCUUUGAAAUCGGUUUGGUUGGAGCGUGCAGUGGAAAAUACUAUUUCAAAGCAUAUAUUCGAGGAGAUAUCACUCAUUUGAUGCAACAAAUAUCGAACAAAAAAAACAAGCAUUUAAGUGUCAUAUAUAAGUAGCUUUAAAAAUGUUCUUAAAACACUUGAUAGUGUCAAAGGAAUAUUCGGAUAAGAAUAAAUUGAAGAUUGAUACUAUUCUCAUGUCUGUCGGUGAAAUAAAAGAUCAAGCCGGAAGCCAAUUAGCUUAGCUUACGUUAGCCUAUAUUAGCAUAGCGUAGAGACUAGAAACAAGGCCGACACAGCUGCCUCCGGCUCUGACGUAACCUCUGAGGCUCAUUCAUUUACAUUUCUAUUUUAUGCACAAAAAUAAUGAAAUCGAAGCGGAUUGCGUGCUGAACUAUUUCUCAUCCGGAAGCAGAAACGUCCUGGGCUGAUGUUUUUUUUGUAUGAAUUUAACAAACAAGAUUACAAUGUGUUGGUUAGUGAGCUUUUAAGGCGCUGGAAUUUUUGCCGCCAUUAGACAACGCAAAGCUCGCGGAUGUGUUUAGCGUUUAUGCUAACCAGCCGUGGGCUGUAGAUUCAUGUUCAACGAAGAUGAGUAACCAACUUCUCGAACACGUGGCAAUAAAGCAGAUUUCCUAGACUGUCGAGCUUUUGCUUUACGUUUGGGCCCCAUAGUAAAUGAAAUUAAUGUAGAUUUGAUUGCUGCGUAUUAAAAAAGGUUAAAAAUGGAGUAGGUAUAGAAAAAACUGUUUUUAUUCACAUUCAUUCAUUGUCUGGCCAGCUGUCACAAAUUUGCUUGACCCAUUUUAUCCAAGUGGACUGAGGCACAGUGACCAGCACAGCCAUUUUGAUUUGCAGCCAUUUGUUUGGCCCAUUGAGUGAAAAAAGAAAACUGGCCUCACACCAAAGAGCUCAGGCAGCACGUUUCAUGCCAACUCUUAAACUCUGGCGAGAACAGAAGAGCACUAGUUUGUUUGAACAUGUCUGCCCUAGACUUUUCUCCUGGCUACCCUUCAUCACGCCACAAUCAUAUCACCGAUGUGCCUUUGAGAGAAAAAAAAGGGGGAAAAAGCCAAUGCCACCGGAUUGGCUGCUUGUGGUGGAGCUGUUGCUAAGGGGAGGGUUUUACUCCGUGAUGGAUGUGGCAGCUGGUGAGGGCCAGUUUGAGCAACACGUAUAGCAAUUUAAUGUUUAAUUAACGCUCCAUGUGUUUAUGUGAUCAAUAUCCUCUGAAUAGACAAAAUCCUGCAGUUUUUUGGUUUAUGUUCUGUGCCAUCUGUUUAAACAGAGUUCGACUCACCUAAAUACAGUCUCAUCACUUAUGAGCCAAUGCACUUACAGCUUUUAUAACCGCCUCAGUUGUUCGCACCAUUUGACAUGAUUAGAGGACUGUAAAUGUCAACAAAAAUAUUUUAACACUGGCAAUAAAACCAAAACAGGAUGUGCCGAGGGUUUGGUUACACCUGGACAAGUGUCUUGACAGCAUAGCCACAAUUUAAUAGCUGUAAAAAACCUAGUUACAUUUAAAAAAAAAUGUAAUUCGGUUUGUGGCCAUUUUCUAAAGAAUUAAAACAAAGUGACACGCAUUAAGUGUGCUAACUUGCAGGAACUGCACACAUAAAUAUUUACUUUACUACACGAACCGAGCUGCAGGAUAUUCCUGCAGGAAAGUUGCCUUCAAGCACAAGUGCAUUCAGAAGGGCAACGGCACAACAUGCAUUUAGUUAAAGUCCGGUUAAGAGCUGCGACGUCUUUAAAUAGUCUCCUUUAGGUAAAUCCUCAGCAAAGCACUUUAAAGCCUUUAACAUUAUACAAGCUGCUAAACGUGACCUACAAAGUAACAGCAAGUCAAGUCACUAGUUUACGUGUCAAAAUGCAUCAUGACAUUCCUGUGCAGCUCCAAGCACUGACGAGAGUUCUCAACAUCCUUCCUGUGCGCAGUGACAAACAAAGCAAAAUAAAGUUUCCAAUUAUUUAUUUCAGUUUAACCGUUUCAAUAUAAAAUGUGAAAUAUUCAAGGACAGACAAAUUAAUAAUAUCAUAAACACCGUGAUGAACCAUUUAAGCAGUCAGACAAUGAGGAGUAACUGGACAGGGCUUGAGGGUAUCAAAAGAAAAAGUCAAGGUACACCAUGCUACAGUAAUACCAAGUGGAACAAUUUAAAAACCUCUGCAGGUUUUAGAGCCCUUCAGCUCAGCGUUAAAAUUUGAUAUAUAAAAAAAAAAAGGAGGGACAGAAUAACCAGCAUUCAAUUUCUCCUAUAGUCAGAAACCUUUUAUUCACAAUCUGGUGACCAAUUAAUCUUCAAACUUGAAAUGAAAAGACAAAAAAGGGGCGGGCAGAUAUC
Long non-coding RNA from Pseudoliparis swirei, 4090 nucleotides. RefSeq lists it as uncharacterized. Lineage: Eukaryota; Metazoa; Chordata; Actinopteri; Perciformes; Liparidae. The record is from RefSeq and is a predicted model, not a curated record. The transcript has 2 exons.